Non-coding RNA from Heterocephalus glaber (naked mole-rat), 72 nucleotides. The record is from Rfam. Lineage: Eukaryota; Metazoa; Chordata; Mammalia; Rodentia; Bathyergidae.
UAGAAUAUAGUGUAUUAGGUUGCACAGAGAAUUUUGAGUUCUUUGGGGUAGGUUCAAAUCCUAUAAUUCUAG